Molecule: long non-coding RNA, 2430 nt
Organism: Gallus gallus (chicken)
Lineage: Eukaryota; Metazoa; Chordata; Aves; Galliformes; Phasianidae
Source: Ensembl
ACCAGAAGGGGUGGACUAAGAGUGGAGCCCCCCUGUGCUCAUAUAAAGGCCAGACACUGAAGGGAGAGCAACUCUUGGAUCUGGGUUGCUUGCUGAGGAGUGCUGCACAGUCAGGAGCCUCUUCACCAGCUGGAGAUGUGAGAUAGAUCCCUGGUUGACUCUACUCGCACCCUGCCUGCUUGGACUUAUGCUGGUUGUCAAAAUGAAAAAGCCUGGGGAAACCAGUGAAUUAUGAACGUGAGAGGCAGCUCCUCCAGACUUCUCUGCAAAGAAAGCAGGUUCUAUGUCUCACAAGCAAAACAGUGCUUUCCCUAACACAAGCAGUCACCUAUUGGCUGUCACAGAGGGAAAAUACCUGCUUAUACUGGGAGGAGUAGAAUUCUGCAUUUUGCCAGAUCCUGCUGGGAAACAGCUGUGUUUAUACUUUGCACAUCUGUCAGAGCAGGCUGCUGAGAUCUCCAGAUCUGAGGACUGUCCCAGCUGAUUUAGCUCCUGGACACCUUUAGCUUCUGUCAUGGAUUCCUGCUUAUGAAUAGAUAAAACAGUGUACUGAAAGCUGCUGGGCAAAACUGUUGUGCUGAAUCCUUGGCAAGUUUCAGAAAGACAAACGCGAUGUUGUCAGACCAUCACCCAGUACAGUUGCAGUCACUCAACAGGCCAAAAGCAAGAUCCUGAUCUUGGGCAUCUCAGGAGCUGGACAUGAUGGCCCUGGGGAGUUCCUUCCAUCUCAGGAUAAUCUGAUUGCUGAACUGCUACUUACAGCUUUUCACAGCCUUCCUACUUGUUCUUGUUCAGUGCGUCUGUUUGAAAGUGUCUUGAAGAUGAAGUUAUUUCCUGGAGGAAUUCUGAAGGCAACAAGAAGCAUUUUCUCAAGGAGGGAAAAAAAAAAAACCAAACCCUGGAGUGACUUGUGCCUAAAUCCUGGAGCAGAACAGAGUGGCAGCCAGGGCUGCUUACCAGGACAGCAUUUUUGCCUUUUUGUCUCUCUGGGGAUUCUCAAGUAGGAAAGAAAACUGUGGUGUUACUGCUGGGAGGAUUUUUCCUGAUCCUGAGGGAAUCCAUUCUGGAAGCUUGAUCCAAAUGACAGCUGCCUCCAAUUACCACUCUACACAUUGCUGUGGUUAUUUGGUUACAAUCAAGACUGGAGGCUUGAUGACAGCUAGAAGUACCAGCAAGGAAACCUCAGAUGGUUCAGGCUACAGCAGCAUGGGUGCAGGACAACCUGGAUGAAAGUCAGCAGAACAUCUACAGGGCUAAUUAGGACCAUGACCUUGAAAAGGCAUUUUCCAGUACUGUUCACUUAGGUUGAAGCUAGAGACAGAGGAAGGUAUGCACUUCCCAUUAUGAGUGCUACUCCUAAGUUUUCCAACAGGUGCCAAGUAUGGUGGCUUUGAAAUGUAUUUUGGAGAGCUGACAAAGUGGUUAAAGCAGAUAAUUCAUAACAGGCUGUACUAAGACCAAAAAAACCCCACCAACUGGAGUGGUCAUUAAUUUGUGAGGUGAGCAGGCAGCACUCACCAAGCAAGUGGUGCACUGCCUGUUUCCCAGCCUGCCUCCAAACAUCUGCGCGCCUCAGAAGCAAGUGUAAUGUUAUUCUCCCAAGGUGACCCCCUGCUCUGCACUGCAGGAGAAUGAUGGUGAUGUUACAGGCUGGAAUGGAGUAGCAGAAGGUGAGUUGUUUGAAGGUGAAAUCCCAUACUUAUCUACUGCCGUGCUUUCUUUGUGAGGACCUGCAAACCCAUGGGGUGGUCUUUCUCUUUUCAUUCCUCUGCCUGUAUGCUUGGCUGAACCCCAGUGACUGAGCUGCAAGAAAGACCUUACAGUCUGCUGGGAUGGAGGAGCAUCCAGAGAGCCUGGGAGACACCCAAUGUCCCCAGGCACUGAUGUACCCUCUCUAAUACCCACAGAUGAUUCAAGCAAGGCUCAUCUUUCCCCCAACUUCUGAAAUAGCCAUGGGAGCCCUUCAUGGCAAGCUGCCCAUGGCAGGAACCAGUCAGAACCUGCUUCUCCCUGAUGGAAGCCAUCAAGGAAGAGAUGAACAGGAGACUUUGUAAAUGUCUUUAUAACAUGGAAAGCUUUGGAUUUAUGGUGAUAAAUAAUGUUUUCCGCAGUAUGCAUCAACCUGAUUAAUUUCUUUCUAAAUUUAUAGCUUGUGUGUCCUUUAAUCUAUCUUGUGCCAUAGCAACAAUAACAAGCUGAUUGCUGUACCAUUUCAAUCAGCAUCAGUGGCAGUGAGCAGAUGUAUCACUGCCUCAACAAUAGCAUAGGUUUCGUUUCUGAAAAACAUUACUUAGGGCUUUUACUCCAGUUGCAGACGUUAUCUUUUUGUUUUCUGAACUUCUGGUGAAGGAGAACUAACAGUGCUAUAUAAUGCUUUGUGUUUAAUGGAUCUUGUGGUAAGAAGGAUUGAAAAGCAAUACAAGCAGAAAG